CCCCUUGUGGUGUAGUUGGCUAUCACGUUCGGCUGUAAAUGGUUUACUGAUACCGAAAGGUCACCGGCUCGAUUCCGGUCGAGGGGA
The sequence is a transfer RNA, 87 nucleotides long. It matches the Rfam family "tRNA". Rfam says of the family: Transfer RNA (tRNA) molecules are approximately 80 nucleotides in length. Their secondary structure includes four short double-helical elements and three loops (D, anti-codon, and T loops). Further hydrogen bonds mediate the characteristic L-shaped molecular structure. tRNAs have two regions of fundamental functional importance: the anti-codon, which is responsible for specific mRNA codon recognition, and the 3' end, to which the tRNAs corresponding amino acid is attached (by aminoacyl-tRNA synthetases). tRNAs cope with the degeneracy of the genetic code in two manners: having more than one tRNA (with a specific anti-codon) for a particular amino acid; and 'wobble' base-pairing, i.e. permitting non-standard base-pairing at the 3rd anti-codon position. The record is from Rfam.